RNAcentral lists this ribosomal RNA (253 nucleotides) under uncultured bacterium. Its description in RNAcentral is "partial 16S ribosomal RNA". It matches the Rfam family "Bacterial small subunit ribosomal RNA", at positions 524 to 776 of the family's 1533-position model. The record is from RNAcentral.
UACGUAGGGUGCAAGCGUUGUCCGGAAUUAUUGGGCGUAAAGAGCUCGUAGGCGGUCUGUCACGUCGGCUGUGAAAACCCGAGGCUCAACCUCGGGCCUGCAGUGGGUACGGGCAGACUAGAGUGCGGUAGGGGAGAUUGGAAUUCCUGGUGUAGCGGUGGAAUGCGCAGAUAUCAGGAGGAACACCAAUGGCGAAGGCAGAUCUCUGGGCCGUAACUGACGCUGAGGAGCGAAAGCAUGGGGAGCGAACAGG